This 253-nucleotide ribosomal RNA is filed under the name uncultured bacterium. RNAcentral describes it as "partial 16S ribosomal RNA". It matches the Rfam family "Bacterial small subunit ribosomal RNA", at positions 524 to 776 of the family's 1533-position model. The record is from RNAcentral.
UACGGAGGGUGCGAGCGUUGUUCGGAAUUACUGGGCGUAAAGCGCGCGUAGGCGGCCAUUUAAGUCAUUUGUGAAAGUCCACGGCUCAACCGUGGAAGUGCAUGUGAAACUGGGUGGCUUGAGUACUGGAGGGGGUGGUGGAAUUCCCGGUGUAGAGGUGAAAUUCGUAGAUAUCGGGAGGAAUACCGGUGGCGAAGGCGACCACCUGGCCAGAUACUGACGCUGAGGUGCGAAAGCGUGGGGAGCAAACAGG